This 252-nucleotide ribosomal RNA is filed under the name uncultured Oscillospira sp. RNAcentral describes it as "partial 16S ribosomal RNA". It matches the Rfam family "Bacterial small subunit ribosomal RNA", at positions 524 to 776 of the family's 1533-position model. The record is from RNAcentral. Lineage: Bacteria; Bacillati; Bacillota; Clostridia; Eubacteriales; Oscillospiraceae.
UACGGAGGAUGCGAGCGUUAUCCGGAUUUAUUGGGUUUAAAGGGUGCGUAGGCGGGCUGUUAAGUCAGCGGUCAAAUGUCGGGGCUCAACCCCGGCCUGCCGUUGAAACUGUCAGUCUUGAGUACCGGAGAGGUCAUCGGAAUUCCUUGUGUAGCGGUGAAAUGCGUAGAUAUAAGGAAGAACACCAGUGGCGAAGGCGGAUGACUGGACGGCAACUGACGGUGAGGCGCGAAAGCGUGGGGAGCAAACAGG